CCUCAGAUAGUACCAAGCUGUACAUAGAGACACACAUCUUUGAUAAAGUAGGCAAAGAGACAAACGGCGAUAACUAAUAUAAUAGGACAAUUAGAACAAAUACUGUAAUGAAAGUUAUGUGAAUGUCACCUUUCUCUCUCAUAAGGUCUUACUGUUUGGUACUCACCCUUCUUCUCGCGAUGAUGGGAGAGGAAGUGAGGUGGAUGACACAGGCGUUGCGAUUUAGCAUUGGGCUAGUGUGGACCUUCUGAUGACACAUCAGGAGAAUCAUCUGCUCCCAGUGACCCUGGAUCAUCAGCAAUGACGGAGUGGAUGGCUGGGUGUCAGGAGCAGACGAUGUCCGUGGUUGGGGAUCCCAGGCAGUGUCUUUGGACUGCAGCUGACAGAGGGUAACUGAAUCCUCAUAGAGCAGCACCACAGAUAAAAACUUAAGAAGAUUGAGAGUAGACCCGAGGUGCAGCCUUAUUUUCCUUCUCAAAGAAUGUGAUGGCUACUUUUUGCUGGGCAGUUUCACUGAAAAGGUUUAUCUGUGCUCAGGCUGUCGUGAAGCUGUGCCUUUACUGACCUGCUGCUCUGAGGACGUAAGGCCUCAUCUCAGAUCUACAAAACCGGAAUCUGCACAGUGACAAGAUCCCCACGCGUUAGCUCCAAAGGUGAUGUGCGCUGCCCCAGCAGACAAUCCACCAGCGCUCCCUCUGCAGUGGCCCUCAGAAGGCCCGCCCUCUUCCCUGGAUACCACCGAGGAAAAGGUCAUACAGGGAAGAGCUCUGGCAGUUUGCUUCUACUCGGUCUGGCUUUGGGGAAAUAGUUUAAUUUCCAGGUUUCUGUUUGCUGUUUCGUAUUCUGUGACAUGCCUUUUGCAGGUUAGCAUGUUGUGACUUCCUCUUAUCUGUUGACUUUGAGCCCAAAUCAUUACUUAGGAGGAGAAAGUUUCCUCCUUUACCCAUGAGACAAAUAUCCACCCCACCAGCACAUACUUAUCCUGGCCUAACUCACCCCAACUAAAGUAAUUUAAUUUGCUUCAAUUUAAGCUACUAUACACUAGAUUGAUACAGAUCCAGUUGCCACCGAAAUAUCUUAGGUAAAAAUAAACAAUCAUUAACAUAUUAGUUGAUUUACACAUCAUAUUUUUCCAAAGGAAAAACUGUAAUGGACUGCUAUUCAUUAAAUAGAGUAGAUCAUGUCUUUAGCUUCCAGAAUACUGCUUAGGAUUACGGCACACUGUACAUUUCUGCUGCAACUAUAUAAAUAUGUACAUGCUUAAAUUUAUCUUUAACAGUCAGAGAAGAAUAUUAAAAAUAAGUAUAACUUUGAUUUACAACUUACAAAUCUCUUCAUUCACAUGAAUUCAUUAAAAUAUGAAGUCUAUGCAGCUUUCAGUUUAAAAGAUCUGUUCUUGGUAAAUUGGUUCUUAUCAUAGAUUUUUGUCAAUUUCUUUGAAAUCCGUCAGCGUAAAAGUGGGUGUACUCUCAUUUAUCAUGCAAUAGAUGUAUCUAGGAUGAUUGUUCCAUCAUUGCUCCUGUACUUGGGUGCGCUAAGGGUUUAAGUCAAGGAGAUCCCUGUGUUUCCCUAGAAUUCCUUCUCAAGACGUAUGUUACGAUCAGUGUGUUCAGCCUGAGUUGGCACACGGUACAGACAGAGAGGGACCAACUCCCCAGAGCUGACAACACUCAGGGCUGAUAUUCUCAUUCAACACCUCACUUCCGAGACAGGUGAGACACUGCAGGCUUAGGCGUGAGGGAGCCAGAUUACCGCUCACCAUCUAACACGCUUUCAAACAGCUUAGUGACAAAAGGUGAUGAAGGACUGAGGAUAAACAUUGUAAAACAGCUAAACUUGGUCCUGGAAAUAACGUGAAAGGUAUUUAGAUACUAAGAACUGUCACUUCUUUCAGAAUAAAAUAAGAGGAAGUAGAACACGAUCUUCCAUGAUGUGCCUGUUGAUUUAACUGUAAGACAUGUCGGCAGUUUUUUUCAUAAUCCCUGAGCGUAUACAUUUUUCCAAAUACACGUCGGUAAAAACCUACCGGAAGUAAAAGCUUAGGACUGAUGACCAACCGUUAUUAAGUGUUUAAUAAUAAAUAUAUAAAUAAUAAACAAUAAAAUCAGUGUAUAAGUAACAAAUAUUAAAUGUUUAAUAAUGGCAGAUUAUUAUUAAAUGUUAUUUAUAACUAUUAAUUUUAAAGUCAUCAGUAGACCACUGAAAUAAAAAGUACUUUUCCUCUAAUCAUUGCCUCUAUUAAUGAAGUACAACCAAAAAC
Molecule: non-coding RNA, 2260 nt
Organism: Vicugna pacos (alpaca)
Lineage: Eukaryota; Metazoa; Chordata; Mammalia; Artiodactyla; Camelidae
Source: RefSeq, a predicted model, not a curated record